This 225-nucleotide unclassified non-coding RNA is filed under the name Hevea brasiliensis (rubber tree). The record is from RNAcentral. Lineage: Eukaryota; Viridiplantae; Streptophyta; Magnoliopsida; Malpighiales; Euphorbiaceae.
GUUCGGCUCAGUGAUUCCAUUCUUACAAUGCUCUCCGAUUUCGAAUCUAGCAUCCAAAAGGACUCGUCAAGGACACCGGUUCCAGGAGGCGACGUGCAUCCUCUAACACUGCAUUCGAUGAAUUACCUCACUCUUCUCGGCGAUUACGGUAGUAUCCUCUCAGAUAUUAUCUCUGACUGGCCUCCACCGGUGAAGUCAUCGCUACCUAAAUCUUACUUCGACAGU